UACGUAGGGUGCGAGCGUUGUCCGGAAUUAUUGGGCGUAAAGAGCUUGUAGGCGGUUUGUCGCGUCUGCCGUGAAAGCCCAGGGCUUAACCCUGGGUCUGCGGUGGGUACGGGCAGACUAGAGUGUGGUAGGGGAGACUGGAAUUCCUGGUGUAGCAGUGAAAUGCGCAGAUAUCAGGAGGAACACCGAUGGCGAAGGCAGGUCUCUGGGCCACUACUGACGCUGAGAAGCGAAAGCAUGGGGAGCAAACAGG
This 253-nucleotide ribosomal RNA is filed under the name uncultured bacterium. RNAcentral's name for it is "partial 16S ribosomal RNA". It matches the Rfam family "Bacterial small subunit ribosomal RNA", at positions 524 to 776 of the family's 1533-position model. The record is from RNAcentral.